GCUUAGUAGGGUUUCUAAACUAACAAUUGUCUCUUCCAACGCUGUGCCAAAAAGAGCUUAUUUGUAACAUAUUUGUUUGACUUUCCUUUGCUGGUUUUCUCUUUAAAUGUCAACACUAUCCAGAAUUCUUUAAAUUAGAAGUCACGUUUCACCAUUGCACUCUUUCCGACGUGAAACCCAGCAAUGUGUUAUUUUCCCGGAAAUUCCCAGAUAUUGUGAGUAGCUCAGCUGAAAUGCUAGUGUUUGCAUAAUUUGAGCAUGUGUGUGUUUCAUGUGCGGGUUUGUGGAACAGCCAUGUCCUGUUUGUAACCAACACACAGUAUACAGUUGCUCACUGUACUGUGGAGUUUCAAGCCAGCUGGGCACAUUAGAUGGGCCCACUAUCUGUUUGACUGUUCAAGUUUAGUGCACAAUUGUCACUGUUAUGGAUGUUUAUCAAUCGUCAGCUUGUUAAAUCUCAACCAAAUAGUCACAGAAGCAGAUCAUUUUAUUUUUUAGUGUUUUUUGUGGCCUAAAUUCAAAGUGGCGCAGAUGAUUAGAUAGGUACUCAAGUUGUUUAAAUUGACGUUAAAACUGAAUAAAGAUAAGAAAUAGUGAUACCUGCAGGUACAUUCUGUAAAAGUGACAAACGUGAUAUUCAAGGUUAAAUGUAAACAGUAUGAUCACAUGACUAUAACAGAACAGAGCAUGUAAUCAUUUUUUGUUUUUAGCUCCAGAGCAGGUCAGAGGUGCAGCUUGUUGCCAUGGUGAUUUACAACAGGAAGGAAUGAACCAGCUUCCUUGCAUUGACAAAACACCCAGAGUUUAUCCUUGAAGUUACCUCUGUAACCACAGAUCCUGCUCCCUAGUACAGUACCCCUAAGUAAAGUAGUGAUGCAAUCAGUUCACAGUUUACAUAGCAGUAAUUACUUAUCUUUUAAAAAUGAGGCAAACAGAAAUACAAUUAAUUAAUCAGGAAGGUGUGCUGUGAUAUAUGCCACUGGGCACGGGAAUGCCUUACCAGAUGUGGUUGUAGUGUGGUCUUGCAAAAACAGUGCACAGCUUGAGUCUUUGGCUGUGUUGCUGGACUGACCCCAUUUUAGGGAAUGAGAGGGCCUUGUUAUUUCAUGCAGGGCUUAAGCACCUCCAGUGGGAGGCUCUAUUGAAAUCGAAAUGUUUAUUAGGGCCCGAGCACCGAAAUUGGUGGGAGGCCCUAUUGAAUUCUAAAUGAUCAUUAUUAUUUAAUAUUAGGGAUCGAGUACCGAAAUCGGUGGGAGGCCCUAUUGAUAUUGAAGUGAUUAUUAUUAGUUAGAUUACACUCCAUUAAAACACGAUGUUCUGUAUCGCGGACAUACAAGGACCAUGAAUCCUUUGAUGCUGAGACGUAAACAAACAACUCCACUACUGCGGUGUCAGUGGUUAAAGAUAAUAGGAAUCUUUAUGUCUUGCAAAGGUUACGUCUAUCCCCCUCUCAGAAUUGGGAUAUUUCCUCAAACCAUGUAAACAUUGAGGUACGGCGAAGGUUCAUCCUAAAGGCUCCUAAAUGGUGGAAUGGCUCCUAAAUGGUGGAAUGAGCUCCCCAUUGACAUCCGGACAUCAGAAAGUCUACACAUCUUCCGCCGAAAACUAAAAACAUACCUCUUCCGACUUAACCUUGAAUAAAAAAAAAAAAAAAAAAAAAAAACACUAACAACUUUUUGAAACUAACACUUUAGUAGCACUUAAAUGGCACUUACUUAUUAUAGCACUUUGUAGUUGUGCUUUAUUUGAAGAAAUUGUACUUUCUUGAUUCUUGUUGUCCUUGGUAUGUACCCUCGGGUUUGAAUACACUUAUUGUAAGUCGCUUUGGAUAAAAGCGUCAGCUAAAUGAAAUGUAAUGUAAUGUAAUGUAAAAGGAGACGAUGUUGUCAUAACUCCACUGUGCAUUAUCCCAUCACCAGCAAACUUCUAUCUCAUGAUCAGAGUCCAAGCCUAAACAGCUCUAUUUGUCAAUAUUUCCUCAGUCAUUAUUUAUUUUUUUCAGGCAAAACACAUACAACGCUUUAAAAUGCAUGUGCUCGGGCCCGCCAAGUGCUGCUUUGCAGUCCUAGAAAUUUUAGAAAUUGUAUUUUCUUCAUUUGAAAUCAUUAAAUCUAAAUGAAUAAGUGAUGAACGUUACGCAAACUGCUCCACCAAGAAUCCAAUCGCUGCCUCCGACUGAGCUGAGAUGUUUUACUCACUUCUCCUCACUCAUCACCAUCAUUUUCAAUGAUCGUUUUACUGUUUUCAGCCACUGACAAAAAGAUGUGAAGAAUCCCACCUUUUUGGAUUGGUUGGUUCAGUCCAAGCCAUAGCAGAGUUUUACUUUCUUCUUCCUUAUCUAAUUAUAAAGUACUUUGUUUUAGCUGAAGUCAGAUUUAAGCUGCAAUUAUUUUUAAAUACGGGGAAUGCAUUGCUCGGCGUCAUGAUCUCUCCUUUAAACAGGCUGCUCUAUGCUUUGGUUUCAUUAUUAUGAUCACUGUAGUGUGAGGUUUCACAUCAAGUUCUAUUGUUUUAUUAAGUCUGAAGCUUUGGUCACUAGUAACCUCAAUUGUAUGAUGCAACGCUGUUUACACCUGAAUCUCCUAAAGUGUUUUGUGGACUCAAACACUUCACCAUGCCCUCUAUUGGCAUAGUGGUGAGUAGAAAAUGAGGUGAAAUUAAAUUUCUGGGUGAGCUAUCCCUUUAACUGCAGCUUCAAUGCGAUACCACUGCGUUGGCUUUCAUUGAUACAACUGCUGUGGCCACCAAACAACACAUUUCUGCACCUCACUCACAAGCUCCUCCAUUUUGGUGUCAGAAUCAUGGCGUCUUGCUUGAUCAUGUUCAUGUUCACCAUAAAAAAAAAUGGUAAGUCUGAACAUGGAGGCUAAGCCCUUUCCGAAGGAUUUAUAAGGGGGCUAUGUAAGAUUGGCCUGGGUGGGUCAAACCGGGCUGAGGAGACAGUUGGGAAAUGCUGAGAUCCAGAGAUACCUGAAAGAUGAAACUCAUUCCUGAAAAUCCUCCAUGGGCUUGAAGCUUUCCUAUUACUCAAGUUCUCCGGCACUGUGCCGGAAUUCCGGCGCAGGCCAGUGGCGGUUGGAUUCAGAAAUAGAUAAUUAUGUGUCUGUGUAAAUAUUCUGGGCUUUUUAAAGUGUCGUAUUGCAAGGAUAUGGCUGUGUCAUACUGGAUAUUCUUUACGGCUUUGAAAGUUCUGCACCCUGUCUGACAUGAUGCAACAAAUUAGAGGAGGGGCUCAAGAGGCAGGUGAAAACAGCCUUUCCUGUCUGCAGCUCAAGAGAGCGGCAGAAGAGAGGACAUGGAAAUACACAUUGCAGCAGUUUUUCCGACUUUAAGCCACUGAUAUUUCAUCUUAGGGGUACCAAUACCUCAAACUAAAUCCAGAAAGGUGUAAAAUAUGGGUCCUUUAAAUCACACAAGCUUCUUACUAAAAUUGUCCUACCUAGAUUCUAUGAUGAAACUGCAUGUUCAUCAUUUGGCAGUAAUUAAUAAAAGAAAAAUACAUAAAUAUAGGUUUAUUAUAAUACAAAACAGUGGACUUGUACCCUUGCCUGUUCAUUAAAGGAAAAUUUAGCACAGUUCUUUUAUAUCCAAUAAUACAUGUGUUGUGAAGAAACAAUGGCUGAUAAGAUAUUGCUGCUACUUGUGGAAUCGUUGUUUCUGUGAUCCAGGUUAUAGGUUAAAGUUAAAGGGGACAUUCCACUUUUGUAGUUCUUCUUCACAUUAUUUUGGGUAUCUGGCAUGUCUACCUUCCCAAAAACUCUGGAAAAAAACAGAGUGUCCAAUGGAAUUAUGACCGAAAUAGACGUCAUAGUCGCAACAUGCCCAUGCCCCCAUAUAGCUCUAUGCACUCCCCCACUACCACUCCACCCACCCAUGGAUGGACCCCCCACUUUUUAGACAGUCUAUCAGUGUACUGCAGCCAUUUCAUUCUUGCAAGCCUUGGAAACACUUCGAUAAGCUAACUAGCAGCAUGAAUCGAAUUCGACAACCGAGAUCCUCAGUGGUCAGCUGCACAAAUGUCUUCAUGUGACUCCAGCUUCAGAAGACACAAGAUUGAGAUGGAUUGAGUUCAUAUAUGAUGGCAACGUUCCUGCCACCACUUUGAAUCGGACUGUUUUAUCAACCUGGGCCAAUAUAACAACGGAUUCUCUAAAAAGGUUGUUAUUGAAAGAGGGAUCGGUGCCAUCUUUCCAUCGCAAUACUGAAGACGAGGGAAGUGCAAGUAUUUUUUUUAUUAUAAUUCUGGUAUUUGCUUCUUUUAGACAUUUUGUGUGGAGGCUAGUGCCCUUAGGUGUGUGUGUGUGUGUGUGUGUGUGUGUGUGUGUGUGUGUGUGUGUGUGUGUGUGUGUGUGUGUGUGUGUGUGUGUGUGUGUGUGUGUGUGUGUGUGUGUGUGUGUGUGUGUGUGUGUGUGUGUGUGUGUGUGUGUGUGUGUGUGUGUGUGUGUGUGUGUGUGUGUGUGUGUGUGUGUGUGUGUGUGUGCGUGCGUGCGUGAGUCUUAGCAAGAAGACAGCGUCGGGGUCCACGGUGAAUGGUGAUCGCACGGCAGGUUCGUGAGUGUUGUGCUCUCCACGCUCUCCCCCCCCUCCGCUCGAGGGGCCGUAGCGGCUACUACGAACCCAGUAGCAGCUACUACGAACCCCGGCAAGCACAUCUGUUCACGGUGCUAGGCUACAUCACGUAGCAUGCCAGACGGACCCACCAAAGAUGCGCACACAUGGAACGCAGCUUUCUAUGAAAACACUGCGACCUCACUACAAAAGCACACAGAAAACUGUGCUGCACUGAUGUCGGUGUUGGGAUCUCAGCUGUAAGAGACCACGCUUGGAGGAGGGAGAGGACAACCGAAGUUGUUCAAGUAUGGACUUCGGAGACACAGGAUGCUACCUAUGAUCCUGAUGACCCGAUCACAGUCUUGACUGAGUCAGCAGAUGUGACAAUGGAAUCUUCCAACCCUGUUCACAGACACCCACAUAUAUUGUCUAUGAAAACUGCCCCCUGGAGCUGUUUGAGGUGUGUCCUGUGUGUCGGCGGGGGACAGAUAUAAUAUAUAAGAAGGGCGAGUGCACAGCAAAGCCGGUGAAGAUGCAGCCUUCCGUGAUUCUCACAGGCUCUGUUUAAAACCCAAAUAAUGUACAAAUAGUAUGUGAAACAUAAAUAACAAUAUAAUAAUAACAAUAUCAAUUAACUGCUCUCUUUAAAUGGUCUUCAAUAUUUAAAGACCAUUUCUUUAUCGUCUUCACGGUAAAUAGAAUUAUAUAAUGUCCCCCAAUUUGUAUUACAGAUUACGUGGAUAACCUGUUGGACCUCAUCUUUCAUGAGGUUUUUCAGGACCCGGCCCCAUAUGUGAAUGAGGUGCUGAAGAUCUCAAAACCUGAAGAUCUCUCUGCUAAGUAUGAGAAACCUGACAAGCAGAAAGUUAUAGCCAGCUAUGUGAGCAUCAGGGAACACUCUGCGUAUCUGGAGCACCGAGCAGGAGGGCAGGACCACCCUGAUUCUCCGGCCCAGAUGGCCUCAACACCAGCUCACAAAGCUUCUGUACUCCAAAUACCUGUAACGGCUGAGCAAUGUUUACAUUGUAUUUAGAGAAUAAAAGGUGACACACAAAUAUAAAGUGUUCCUUUGUUUACAGUUUGGCUACUGAUGGUACAAAGUGUAUUUUUGUAAUCAAUGUUUUUAUUAUACUUGGUAUUUUUUGUAUUUAUUACCUCUGUCCCAGCCGUUACGUUUAAUAACUAUGAUUAAAAAGCUCUGUGGCAAUCUUUCUGACAAUAAAAGUUUAUAGAAACA
This is a long non-coding RNA of Platichthys flesus (European flounder), 5788 nucleotides long. RefSeq lists it as uncharacterized. NCBI's taxonomy places the organism in Eukaryota, Metazoa, Chordata, Actinopteri, Pleuronectiformes, Pleuronectidae. The record is from RefSeq and is a predicted model, not a curated record. The transcript has 4 exons.